GGAUAAAUGGCUGAGUGGUCGAAAGUGUCUGCCUUGAAAGCAGGUGUACUAAUAAGUACCGGGGGUUCGAAUCCCUCUUUAUCCG
Molecule: transfer RNA, 85 nt
Filed under: Chloroparvula pacifica
Lineage: Eukaryota; Viridiplantae; Chlorophyta; Chloropicophyceae; Chloropicales; Chloropicaceae
Description: tRNA-Ser
Rfam family: tRNA
About the family: Transfer RNA (tRNA) molecules are approximately 80 nucleotides in length. Their secondary structure includes four short double-helical elements and three loops (D, anti-codon, and T loops).
Source: RNAcentral